UUUAAUGGAGAGUUUGAUCCUGGCUCAGGAUGAAUGCUGGCGGCAUGCCUAAUACAUGCAAGUCGAGCGGUAGCAUGGCUUCACCGUUCUCUUGACACACUUGGCUAUUAUGCGAGUGGUAAGAUUCGAGGGAACUGUGAAGCUGAUGACGAGCGGCGGACGGCUGAGUAACGCGUGAGAACAUACCCCAAAGUGAGGGAUAACUAGUCGAAAGAUUAGCUAAUACCGCAUGUGA
RNAcentral lists this ribosomal RNA (235 nucleotides) under Candidatus Saccharimonadota bacterium. RNAcentral's name for it is "partial 16S ribosomal RNA". It matches the Rfam family "Bacterial small subunit ribosomal RNA", at positions 1 to 178 of the family's 1533-position model. Lineage: Bacteria; Candidatus Saccharimonadota. The record is from RNAcentral.